UACGUAGGGGGCAAGCGUUGUCCGGAAUGACUGGGCGUAAAGGGAGUGUAGGCGGCCGACCAAGUUAUGUGUGAAAGCCCGCGGCUUAACCGCGGAACGGCACAUAAAACUGGACGGCUGGAGUGCAGGAGAGGCAAGUGGAAUUCCUAGUGUAGCGGUGGAAUGCGUAGAUAUUAGGAGGAACACCAGUGGCGAAGGCGGCUUGCUGGACUGUAACUGACGCUGAGGCUCGAAAGCGUGGGGAGCAAACAGG
RNAcentral lists this ribosomal RNA (253 nucleotides) under uncultured bacterium. RNAcentral's name for it is "partial 16S ribosomal RNA". It matches the Rfam family "Bacterial small subunit ribosomal RNA", at positions 524 to 776 of the family's 1533-position model. The record is from RNAcentral.